CCUACGGGAGGCAGCAGUGAGGAAUAUUGGUCAAUGGGCGUAAGCCUGAACCAGCCAAGUCGCGUGAGGGAUGAAGGUUCUAUGGAUCGUAAACCUCUUUUAUAAGGGAAUAAAGUGUGGGACGGGUCCUGUUUUGUAUGUACCUUAUGAAUAAGGAUCGGCUAACUCCGUGCCAGCAGCCGCGGUAAUACGGAGGAUCCGAGCGUUAUCCGGAUUUAUUGGGUUUAAGGGGUGCGUAGGCGGCCUUUUAAGUCAGCGGUGAAAGUCUGUGGCUCAACCAUAGAAUUGCCGUUGAAACUGGGAGGCUUGAGUAUGUUUGAGGCAGGCGGAAUGCGUGGUGUAGCGGUGAAAUGCUUAGAUAUCACGCAGAACCCCGAUUGCGAAGGCAGCCUGCCAAGCCAUGACUGACGCUGAUGCACGAAAGCGUGGGGAUCAAACAGGAUUAGAUACCCCGGUAGUC
Molecule: ribosomal RNA, 460 nt
Filed under: uncultured bacterium
Lineage: Bacteria
Description: partial 16S ribosomal RNA
Rfam family: Bacterial small subunit ribosomal RNA
Source: RNAcentral